GCAUAUCAAUAAGCGGAGGAAAAGAAACCAACAGGGAUUGCCCUAGUAACGGCGAGUGAAGCGGCAACAGCUCAAAUUUGAAAUCUGGCGCAAGCCCGAGUUGUAAUUUGUAGAGGAUGCUUCUGGCCAGCGGCCGUUCUAAGUUCCUUGGAACAGGACGUCAUAGAGGGUGAGAAUCCCGUAUGUGACCGGCGCGCAGCCUUUACGUAGCUCCUUCGACGAGUCGAGUUGUUUGGGAAUGCAGCUCUAAAUGGGAGGUAAAUUUCUUCUAAAGCUAAAUACCGGCCAGAGACCGAUAGCGCACAAGUAGAGUGAUCGAAAGAUGAAAAGCACUUUGGAAAGAGAGUUAAAAAGCACGUGAAAUUGUUGAAAGGGAAGCGCUUGCAACCAGACUUCGUAGCGAUGUUCCGCUGGUCUUUUGACCGGUCUACUCAUCGUCGCGAGGCCAACAUCGUCUGGGCCCGCUGGAUAAGACCUAAGGAAUGUAGCUUCCCUCGGGAAGUGUUAUAGCCUGUGGUGAUGCAGCGUGGUUCGGGCGAGGUCCGCGCUUCGGCAAGGAUGUUGGCGUAAUGGUUGUCAGCGGCCCGUCUUGAAACACGGACCAAGGAGUCUAACAUCUAUGCGAGUGUUCGGGUGUCAAACCCCUACGCGUAAUGAAAGUGAACGGAGGUGGGAAGCGCGAGCUGCACCAUCGACCGAUCCUGAUGUCCUCGGAUGGAUUUGAGUAAGAGCAUAGCUGUUGGGACCCGAAAGAUGGUGAACUAUGCCUGAAUAGGGUGAAGCCAGAGGAAACUCUGGUGGAGGCUCGCAGCGGUUCUGACGUGCAAAUCGAUCGUCAAAUUUGGGUAUAGGGGCGAAAGACUAAUCGAACCAUCUAGUAGCUGGUUCCUGCCGAA
This 896-nucleotide ribosomal RNA is filed under the name Sirosporium celtidis. RNAcentral's name for it is "LSU rRNA". It matches the Rfam family "Eukaryotic large subunit ribosomal RNA", at positions 38 to 965 of the family's 3401-position model. Lineage: Eukaryota; Fungi; Ascomycota. The record is from RNAcentral.